GAGCUCGGAUACGGACUAUGAUUCGGAGAUGGAGCGUGCUGUAGCCCAGAAGUUCGGGAGAAAAGCUAGUGCUAGUGGUGGGAAGUUGAGGAGCAGCAAGAGUAGGAAGAGGAGCGAUAGUGAUGAGCUCGACAACGAUGAUGGGUCGGGGAGUGAUGCUAGGGAGAGAAAGAAGAAGGAGAAGAGAGAGAGAGGGAGAUCAAAGAACAGGAAGAGCGCGAAGAGAAGGUACAGCGACUCUGAUGAUGAGGAUUCGAGCAGAAAAAAGAGGAGGAAGGAGAAAAGGAGGAAGAGGGAUGAUGAUGAUUCCUCCGAUGAGGAGGAGGAGGAGGAAGACAAGCGGA
RNAcentral lists this long non-coding RNA (344 nucleotides) under Salvia miltiorrhiza (redroot sage). Its description in RNAcentral is "long non-coding RNA (SMIL_LNC006000)". Lineage: Eukaryota; Viridiplantae; Streptophyta; Magnoliopsida; Lamiales; Lamiaceae. The record is from RNAcentral.